AUUUUUACUGUAUGUUUCUAAAUGAACUGAUUAACAUUCACCCACUCAAAACCUAUUGUGAUUUCUUUGUUCCCUAUAAAAAUCAAUAUCAUUCUCCUCUGGUUUCUCUAGGUUUCUACACAAACUCUUUGAUUCUGUUGAAUAAAUGUUUUUUGAAUCUUUUUUCACACUCCCAUAUCUAAGUUUAAGCACUUAUCAAAACUUAAUAAGCAACUAUAACUUCCUCUUGAAUCUUCUCUCUCCUAAAUCCAUUCAAUGUCUCCUCUAAUGUCACCAGUACACACUACCCAAAAAGCAAAUUUUCCAGUUAACCAUGUGUUCUUAUGUUUUCAGCUCCUAGCACUUACUCCAGAGGCUGCUUUUGGGCAACAGGCUUGAACAAUGGGAACCCGAGUAAGAUAGAAGGGCUCAGUGACCUCAAACCCCUGGUUGAACACAAUCUCAUUAAGUGACCCAUCCUGAAAUCACCAUAGAUCCUAACAAAUCAAUGAGCUAUGUACAACUAAGCGCAGUUACCAGAAAAGGGAAAACUCAAUAUACCUCCAUACCUCUUCACCUUCCCACUUUAAAUACAACCCCCAUCCACUGCCUCAUGGCAGAUAGUCCCUCCUUUGCUGUCUUGGCCACCACUCCAUUGUUGCAUAUUCAUUAAGAUUCUAUCUCCUUUGUUCUGCCUUGAGUGAAUUCUUUCACUACCCAAGUUACCAGCUUCCACUAGAUUGGGUCACUCCAUAUUUUGGGGCCCAAUUUGAUAGGUCAGACACUCACUAUAUUCACCACACUACACUACUUUUUUUUUCCUGCUUACCUUAUUAGAUAGUAAUGCUCAGUGUGUCACCCACCUUUCCAGUGACCCACCUAGCCCAGGGCAUGUAAUGUACAAAUAAUACUAUAGCAAAGAUGUCUGGCUGUCUACAGAAUUUGUGCUUCCCCUUCCACGGUGUUGAAUUAGUGCGAGGAAGCAGCCACUCGCCUGUGGGCUUCAUUUCCAAGCUGUCCUAUUAUGUGACUACAGAGGAACAAAAGCUAAAAGAUGGAAAAACUCUAUCCCUGAAAGCACAAAUUGGAGGGGAGAUUCUAUCCUGCAAGAAGCACAUUCACUGGGAACAUGAAUGAUUGAAUAACUUUCUGUUGCAUUAAGACAUAUUUGUUUAAGAAGUCUGAAGUCCAUUUGGUUCUUGGUGCUCAAAGUUUGAGCCAUGGACCAAUUGAGUCAACAUCACCUGGAGCUUGUUGGAAAUGCAAAAUUUCAAGUCUCACCCUAGCUGAUUUGAAUACAUGUUAAAAUUUGAGAAUCACUGCUCUUGGUAAGAAAGAAGAAAUAAUGCAUUCAUGACUUCAAAAGGAUUGUACUACUAUGAAAAAACUUUUUUAUUCCAGCUUAAAUAAAAUAUUUCCUGAAAUUAGGACUUUUGUGAGU
This 1420-nucleotide long non-coding RNA is filed under the name Vulpes vulpes (red fox). Its description in RNAcentral is "lncRNA (ENSVVUG00000014339.1)". The record is from RNAcentral. Lineage: Eukaryota; Metazoa; Chordata; Mammalia; Carnivora; Canidae.